Molecule: RNA transcript, 1655 nt
Organism: Tripterygium wilfordii
Lineage: Eukaryota; Viridiplantae; Streptophyta; Magnoliopsida; Celastrales; Celastraceae
Gene name: polyubiquitin-B-like
Exons: 3
Source: RefSeq, a predicted model, not a curated record
AUAACUGGUCUAAAGAACGAACCUUUGUCACGAGCCUAGGUUGACUCCGACACUAUCCAUUGGUUCCUCCCAGUUUCGUUGAGCGCUCUGGUUAAAAAACGGGCCUUCUCGUAUUCUUUGCGUCUACAUUCACUCCAUUAUACUCAACUCCCCUGUCUCGUACUUACCCUAAAAAUUGAGAGAAUUGGGGUUUUGUGCUCAAUCCAUGGAAGCAUCAGGAGCUGCAAACCCUUUUCGCACAUCAAGUGCAAACGAUCCGAGCGAUGAAGAGAUAAAUGUAUACUUCAAGAUUUUGAAAACUGUCGGUUUCAAAGUUAAGAGAUCUGAGACCAUUGACAAUCUCAAGAAGCGUUUACGUGAAAUUGAAGGCAUCGCUGAAAAUCUUCAAGAGUUCUUCUUUGCAGGAAAUCGGCUCAGUAAUGGACAGAGGCUAGUUGAUUCUGGUAUUCAUGAGAACUCCAGUAUUGAUUUAAUUGUCCAGAACGUUGUCUUAAUGAAAAUAUUUGUCAAGAUAGCAUCAAAUCAAAAGACAUUCAGUGUGGAAGCAAGGGCUCAGGAUAGAGUCCAAUAUGUUAAGUCCCUGAUUCAUGCGAAGGAGGGUUUCCGACCUGAUCAGUUCACUCUUGUCUAUGAUGGAAAACUGCUAGACGACGAUAGAACUUUGGCCUCCCUCAACAUGAGAAAUGAGUCAACCCUCUAUUUAAUUUUCUGUCCAAAAGAUGUGUUGUCAAUUUUUGUGAAAGCACCAACUGGAGAGAUUGUGAAACUUGAAAUAAAAGCUCAGUUUACUGUCCGUGACAUCAAAGAAGUUAUCGCGAGCAUGAUAGGUGUGCCAGUCAUUGAUCAGGAUUUGUACUUUUCAGGGGAACGGCUUGAGAAUUGCAAGACACUGGCUUUUUAUAACAUAUUUGAGGAAUCGGCCUUGGAGAUCCGACCUCCUUCAUUUCAGAUAUUUGUCAAACCUUGGAGUGGGAACUCCAUUAUUAUUGAUGUUUUUCCAUUUGAUACUAUUGAGAACGUGAAGCAAAAGGUUUCCCAGAAGGUGAUGAUUCCUGAAAAGUAUCAAUCUCUUGUGUUUGCUGGAAAACGGCUUGAGGAGCAUCGGGAUUUAGCAAGUUACAAGAUCCAGAGGCACUCUACUCUCAAUGUGGUUAUGACACUCUUAGCAUGUAAGAUGAGUUUGAUGGACAUUGGACGUUCUGAACGAGUUAGUAUUCGUGAUUUGAAGGCCACCAUCAAAGAGAAAAUGGGUUUCACAGUGAAGACAGUUGUGUACAAGCUGUUGGCACUGGACGAUGAGCGUACACCAUCAUCUUAUGGAAUCUCCAUUUAUGAUGAGUUGGUCUAUUUGUUUUAGUGGGUGUUAAUCUAUGUUAUUAUCCACCUUCAUCUGAUUCCUUAUCUGGGCUGUGUUCGUUGCAAAUUGUGCACAGGUCUGAUGUAUGAUAGCUGAUUAGGGCAGUGUUGAGAUAUAGGUGUGUAGUUAGGCUGAAACUAUUCAUGUUCUCCUUUGCGGUACAUCAAGAACUUGGAGUGUGCAUCGCUAGUUUUCAUCACAAGGUAAUCUUUCUCUGGUUAAUGACAUUGAUAUGGAAGGUUUCUUGAUAGUGACAUUGAUAUUGAAUUCAUUUGAUUGUAUCUUUUCCAUCGACGAG